UGGCAUUACUUACAGUUACUUGCUAGG
Molecule: non-coding RNA, 27 nt
Filed under: Rattus norvegicus (Norway rat)
Lineage: Eukaryota; Metazoa; Chordata; Mammalia; Rodentia; Muridae
Source: RNAcentral